Molecule: transfer RNA, 52 nt
Filed under: Chiropterargas confusus
Lineage: Eukaryota; Metazoa; Arthropoda; Arachnida; Ixodida; Argasidae
Description: Argas confusus tRNA-Ser
Source: RNAcentral
AAGACUAUAUAAUAGGCUGCUAACCUAGAUAUAAUGUAAUCAUUUAGUCUUU